This 292-nucleotide ribosomal RNA is filed under the name uncultured bacterium. RNAcentral's name for it is "partial 16S ribosomal RNA". It matches the Rfam family "Bacterial small subunit ribosomal RNA", at positions 505 to 796 of the family's 1533-position model. The record is from RNAcentral.
GUGCCAGCCGCCGCGGUAAGACAGAGGGUGCAAACGUUGUUCGGAAUUACUGGGCGUAAAGCGCGUGUAGGCGGCUUGGCAAGUCGGGUGUGAAAGCCCUGGGCUCAACCUAGGAAGUGCACUCGAAACUGCCUCGCUGGAGUGCCGGAGAGGAAAGCGGAAUUCUCGGUGUAGAGGUGAAAUUCGUAGAUAUCGAGAGGAACACCGGUGGCGAAGGCGGCUUUCUGGACGGUUACUGACGCUGAGACGCGAAAGCGUGGGGAGCAAACAGGAUUAGAUACCCCUGUAGUCC